CCUACGGGAGGCUGCAGUGAGGAAUAUUGGUCAAUGGGAGAGAUCCUGAACCAGCCAAGCCGCGUGAGGGAAGACGGCCCUAUGGGUUGUAAACCUCUUUUGUCGGAGAACAAAACCCGGGUCGUGUCCCGGACUGCGUGUAUCCGAUGUAAAAGCAUCGGCUAACUCCGUGCCAGCACCCGCGGUAAUACGGGGGAGGCGAGCGUUAUCCGGAUUUAUUGGGUUUAAGGGGUGCGUCGGGGGUCCGUUAUGUCAGCGGUAAAAUUGCGGGGCACAACCCCGUCGAGCCGGUGAAACUGGCAGACUUGAGUAGGCGAGAAGUACGCGGAAUGCGCGGUGUAGCGGUGAAAUGCAUAGAUAUCGCGCAGAACUCCGAUUGCGAAGGCAGCGUACCGGCGCCAGACUGACGCUGAGGCACGAAAGCGUGGGGAUCGAACAGGAUUAGAUACCCGAGUAGUC
RNAcentral lists this ribosomal RNA (459 nucleotides) under uncultured bacterium. RNAcentral describes it as "partial 16S ribosomal RNA". It matches the Rfam family "Bacterial small subunit ribosomal RNA", at positions 338 to 795 of the family's 1533-position model. The record is from RNAcentral.